AAACAAGUACAAGAUAUUUACAAUAAACAGACCUCAGUGCAAGAAAGUGUCUUUCCAACACUGAAAAGGUCAAAGGUCAACUUUAACAGUAAAAGGUGUAAAAACAAGUACAAGAUAUUUACAAUAAACAGACCUCAGUGCAAGAAAGUGUCGUUCCAACACUGAAAAGGUCAAAGGUCAACUUUAACAUUAAAAGGUGGUCAAACAAGUACAAGAUAUUUACAAUAAGCAGACCUCAGUGCAAGAAAGUGUCUUUCCAACACUGAAAAGGUCAAAGGUCAACUUUAACAUUAAAAGGUGGUCAAACAAGUACAAGAUAUUUACAAUAAGCAGACCUCAGUGCAAGAAAGUGUCUUUCCAACACUGAAAAGGUCAAAGGUCAACUUUAACAUUAAAAGGUGUAAAAACAAGUACAAGAUAUUUACAAUAAGCA
Molecule: long non-coding RNA, 433 nt
Organism: Oreochromis aureus
Lineage: Eukaryota; Metazoa; Chordata; Actinopteri; Cichliformes; Cichlidae
Source: Ensembl